UGGUGCUGAUAUCGAUGUCAGAUUAGCUAGUUGGUGAGGUAACGGCUUACCAAGGCGACGAUCUGUAGCGGGUCUGAGAGGAUGAUCCGCCACACUGGAACUGAGACACGGUCCAGACUCCUACGGGAGGCAGCAGUGGGGAAUUUUGGACAAUGGGGGCAACCCUGAUCCAGCCAUGCCGCGUGAGUGAAGAAGGCCUUCGGGUUGUAAAGCUCUUUCGGCCGGGAAGAAAUCGCAUGGGCCAAUACCCUGUGUGGAUGACGGUACCGGAAUAAGAAGCACCGGCUGACUACGUGCCAGCAGCCGCGGUAAUACGUAGGGUGCGAGCGUUAAUCGGAAUUACUGGGCGUAAAGCGUGCGCAGGCGGUUUUGUAAGACAGGCGUGAAAUCCCCGGGCUCAACCUGGGAACUGCGUUUGUGACUGCAAGGCUAGAGUACGGCAGAGGGGGGUGGAAUUCCACGUGUAGCAGUGAAAUGCGUAGAGAUGUGGAGGAACACCAAUGGCGAAGGCAGCCCCCUGGGUCGAUACUGACGCUCAUGCACGAAAGCGUGGGUAGCAAACAGGAUUAGAUACCCUGGUAGUCCACGCCCUAAACUAUGUCAACUAGGUGUUGGGUGGGUAAAACCAUUUAGUACCGUAGCUAGCGCGUGAAGUUGACCGCCUGGGGAGUACGGCCGCAAGGUUAAAACUCAAAGGAAUUGACGGGGACCCGCACAAGCGGUGGAUGAUGUGGAUUAAUUCGAUGCAACGCGAAAAACCUUACCUACCCUUGACAUGCCAGGAACUUGCCAGAGAUGGCUUGGUGCCCGAAAGGGAGCCUGGACACAGGUGCUGCAUGGCUGUCGUCAGCUCGUGUCGUGAGAUGUUGGGUUAAGUCCCGCAACGAGCGCAACCCUUGUCGUUAAUUGCCAUCAUUUAGUUGGGCACUUUAGCGAGACUGCCGGUGACAAACCGGAGGAAGGUGGGGAUGACGUCAAGUCCUCAUGGCCCUUAUGGGUAGGGCUUCACACGUCAUACAAUGGUCGGUACAAAGGGUCGCCAAGCCGCGAGGUGGAGCCAAUCCCAGAAAGCCGAUCGUAGUCCGGAUUGCAGGCUGCAACUCGCCUGCAUGAAGUCGGAAUCGCUAGUAAUCGUGGAUCAGCAUGUCACGGUGAAUACGUUCCCGGGUCUUGUACACACCGCCCGUCACACCAUGGGAGCGGGUUCCGCCAGAAGUAGGUAGCCUAACCGCAAGGAGGGCGCUUACCACGGCGGGGUUCGUGACUGGGGUGAAGUCGAAACAAGGUAGCCGUAGGGGAACCUGCGGCUG
RNAcentral lists this ribosomal RNA (1310 nucleotides) under metagenome. RNAcentral's name for it is "bacterial SSU rRNA". It matches the Rfam family "Bacterial small subunit ribosomal RNA", at positions 219 to 1520 of the family's 1533-position model. The record is from RNAcentral.